This is a non-coding RNA of Pedobacter glucosidilyticus, 173 nucleotides long. NCBI's taxonomy places the organism in Bacteria, Pseudomonadati, Bacteroidota, Sphingobacteriia, Sphingobacteriales, Sphingobacteriaceae. The record is from Rfam.
CUUAGCGUGAGCGAUACACUAAAGUAAGCGAGACUGCAAAAGUCUGCACUGACGAACAGAAACUGGAUAAGAGGCAUCAUUGAGCGGAUGAGAUGGCACAGCACAUUGAAGUCCAAAGAAAACCAAAAGCUCAACGAUGUAGAUUCAGCAGGAGUAGAUUGAAGGAUAUUUAU